Molecule: long non-coding RNA, 1562 nt
Organism: Homo sapiens (human)
Lineage: Eukaryota; Metazoa; Chordata; Mammalia; Primates; Hominidae
Product: long intergenic non-protein coding RNA 2864
Source: Ensembl
GAGUAGCUGGAACUACAGGCGCCCGCCAUGAUGCCCGGCUCAUUUUCUGUGUUUUCAGUAGAGACGGGGUUUCACUGUGUUAGCCAGGAAAGUCUUGAUCUCCUGACCUCGUGAUCCUGACCUCGGCCUCCCAAAGUGCUGGGAUUACAGGCGCGAGCCACCGCGCCCGACAGCAGUUAUGAAGUUCUAAAAGCAAGUCUUAAUCAGGAAGUGUCCUUGAUCACCAACGGCUCGCCCAGGCAUGCUGGCUCUCUUCCACUUCCACCUUCCACCAUGGGAUGACGCAGUAAGAAGGCCAUCAGUAGAUGCCAGUCCCUCAACCUUGAACUUUCCAGACGCAGAACUGUAAGAAUGAAUCUUUGUUCAUUAUAAAUUACCCAGUUGCAAGUAUUCUGUUAUGAUAGUGUAGCACAAAAUAGAUUAUUAAGAUGAAUGUCAAGCAUUAGAAUGUUAGUCAAGCUGUAAAUCUCAAAAAUUUUCCUCCUAUGUGUUUUUCUAAAAGCUGAUGGUGUACAUUUUACAUUUAACUCCAUCAUCCAUUUUGAGUUAACUUUGUAUAAACUGUGAAGUUUAAUUUGAGAUUGUCUAUUUUAUAGAUGUUAAUUGCUUUAGUAGCAUUUAUUGGAAUGGCUUUCCUUCCUCCAUUGAAUUGCCUUUGCAUCUUUGAAAACAGUGAAUUGGGCAUAUUCAUGUGAGUCAAUUUCUGAGCUUUCUACUGUGUUCCAUGGAUCCAUAUGUCUAUCUCUCCACAAAUAUUACCAAAUCUUGACUGUAGCUAUAUUAUGUCUUGAACUAUGGUAGACUAAUUUUUUCUGUCUUUUUCUAUCUAAAAAUUCAUCUAACUACUAUAGUUUUUUUGCCUUUCCAUAAAAAUAUAAAAUAAUCUCAUCUGUAUUUACAAAUAAUUUUUCUCUCAUUUUGAGAUAAAUUGCAUUAAGAUUGUAUAUCAACUUGGGGAAAAUUGUCACUUUACUAUGUUGAAUCUUUAAAUCCAUUAACACAGUGUGUUUUUUGAUUUCUUUAGAUCUAUGAUUUCUUUCAUCAGCAUUUUGUAAUUUUCAACAUAUAUAUCUGUACUUGUUUCAUAAGAUUAUGCAAAAUGGAGUAUUUUUUUCUUUGUAUUGAUUGUAAAUAUUAUGUUUUGAUUUUCAGUCUUCACAUAUUCAAUGUUAGAAUAUAAAUAUCUUGGUACUGUUUGGAUAUUUGACCCCUCCAAACAUCGUGUUGAAAUUUGAUCCCCAGUGUUGGAAAUGGGGCCUAAUGAAAAAUGUUUAGGUCAUGGGGGCAAAUUACUUAUGAAUGGCUUGGUACCAUCCUCAGGGUAAUGAAUGAGUUCUCCUUCUAGUACUUCCCAUGAAAGCUGGUUGUCAAAAGAGGCCGGCCCCUCCCUCCUCCCUCUCUUACUUCCUCUCCUGUUGUGUGAUCUUUGCACAUGCAAACUCCCAUUCACCUUCUGUCAUGAGUGGAAGCAGCCUGAAGUCCUCACCAGAAGCGGAUGCUACACCCAUGCUUCUUACGCAGCCUGUGGAAUUAUGAGCCAAAUAAACCUCCUUUCUUAUAAA